RNAcentral lists this ribosomal RNA (895 nucleotides) under Chaetomium undulatulum. RNAcentral's name for it is "LSU rRNA". It matches the Rfam family "Eukaryotic large subunit ribosomal RNA", at positions 36 to 964 of the family's 3401-position model. The record is from RNAcentral. Lineage: Eukaryota; Fungi; Ascomycota; Sordariomycetes; Sordariales; Chaetomiaceae.
UAGCAUAUCAAUAAGCGGAGGAAAAGAAACCAACAGGGAUUGCCCUAGUAACGGCGAGUGAAGCGGCAACAGCUCAAAUUUGAAAUCUGGCUUCGGCCCGAGUUGUAAUUUGCAGAGGAAGCUUUAGGCGCGGCACCUUCUGAGUCCCCUGGAACGGGGCGCCAUAGAGGGUGAGAGCCCCGUAUAGUUGGAUGCCUAGCCUGUGUAAAGCUCCUUCGACGAGUCGAGUAGUUUGGGAAUGCUGCUCAAAAUGGGAGGUAAAUUUCUUCUAAAGCUAAAUACCGGCCAGAGACCGAUAGCGCACAAGUAGAGUGAUCGAAAGAUGAAAAGCACUUUGAAAAGAGGGUUAAAUAGCACGUGAAAUUGUUGAAAGGGAAGCGCUUGUGACCAGACUUGCGCCGGGCAGAUCAUCCGGUGUUCUCACCGGUGCACUCUGCCCGGCUCAGGCCAGCAUCGGUUCUCGCGGGGGGAUAAAGGCCCUGGGAACGUAGCUCCUCCGGGAGUGUUAUAGCCCGGGGCGUAAUGCCUUCGCGGGGACCGAGGUUCGCGCAUCUGCAAGGAUGCUGGCGUAAUGGUCAUCAGCGACCCGUCUUGAAACACGGACCAAGGAGUCAAGGUUUUGCGCGAGUGUUUGGGUGUAAAACCCGCACGCGUAAUGAAAGUGAACGUAGGUGAGAGCUUCGGCGCAUCAUCGACCGAUCCUGAUGUUUUCGGAUGGAUUUGAGUAGGAGCGUUAAGCCUUGGACCCGAAAGAUGGUGAACUAUGCUUGGAUAGGGUGAAGCCAGAGGAAACUCUGGUGGAGGCUCGCAGCGGUUCUGACGUGCAAAUCGAUCGUCAAAUCUGAGCAUGGGGGCGAAAGACUAAUCGAACCAUCUAGUAGCUGGUUACCGCCAA